This is a non-coding RNA of Cinara cedri, 949 nucleotides long. NCBI's taxonomy places the organism in Eukaryota, Metazoa, Arthropoda, Insecta, Hemiptera, Aphididae. The record is from the annotation of a GenBank genome assembly.
ACAUAAAAUAUAACAUUUAUUUAUGUCCAAAUAAGCAGUUAAAACAACAUUAUAAUUUUUUAUUGUAACAAUAUGGUUUAAUUCCAUUGACUCAUCACAGUACUUCUUGGAUAUUAUUUCAUAUUUUGCUCUGCUUAGCAUUAUACUGGAGCGUGGAAUACGUACAUUCCUAUGUGUAUAAUGAAUUAGUCAAGUCCCAACAACAGCUGGAUUAUAAUAAUAUUAAUGCUUGUAUAGAUCUAAUAUUGUUAUUAUAAAUACAAUUUAUCUCUAAUAUCAAUCUUCACAUUACUCAGAGUUUGCUUCAUCUGGUAUUCACAUUACCAUUUUAGGAGAUAAGGGUUUCUCUGGUCUAGUGUAUUUGUGUUAUUCUAAUAUUUAUUAGUUAUAAUUGGUAUAAGUUUUAUCGUCUUUAAACUGUAUUUAAUUGUAUUAACUAACAAAUACAGGUCUUGAGUAUCUUUAAUUUGUAAAAUAUAACCUAGAAACCUAUAAUUAUGUCUAUCCAAAAGGCCAGCUAGUACAGUAGGAAUAACCAACCAACUUCUCUGACUAAGUGUAUAGGAUUAGGUAUAAAUAUCGACAGCUCCCUUACUUUCCAUUUCAGGGACCAAUGCGUGUUAUAGUAUUAAUUUUACAACAGUUGAAUAUUUAAGACCAAAUGCAUAUCAAAGCAGUGUGCUAGUGGUAUUUUUGUGAAACACCAUAUUAUGCAAUGGAAAUUACCAUUAGCUAAAUGAAAAAAUUUCUGGUUAAGAUCAAGCAAAGGUUAAAUACUUUCAGAACAUAUUUAGUUGGGACAACCAUUUGGCACAGGUAUUAAAAAUUAAAUUUUGUAUUAAAAUGUUAUUAAAACUAUUAUUGGACUUUACCAUUAUGUUAUUAUCGUUAUUAGCCUACAAACAACCUUCAAAAUUUACUUUCAACAAACCACAUUAUUUUACUAGUU